CGGAUGACUUGUGGCUGGGGGUGAAAGGCCAAUCAAACCGGGAGAUAGCUGGUUCUCCCCGAAAGCUAUUUAGGUAGCGCCUCGUGAAUUCAUCUCCGGGGGUAGAGCACUGUUUCGGCAAGGGGGUCAUCCCGACUUACCAACCCGAUGCAAACUGCGAAUACCGGAGAAUGUUAUCACGGGAGACACACGGCGGGUGCUAACGUCCGUCGUGAAGAGGGAAACAACCCAGACCGCCAGCUAAGGUCCCAAAGUCAUGGUUAAGUGGGAAACGAUGUGGGAAGGCCCAGACAGCCAGGAUGUUGGCUUAGAAGCAGCCAUCAUUUAAAGAAAGCGUAAUAGCUCACUGGUCGAGUCGGCCUGCGCGGAAGAUGUAACGGGGCUAAACCAUGCACCGAAGCUGCGGCAGCGACGCUUAUGCGUUGUUGGGUAGGGGAGCGUUCUGUAAGCCUGUGAAGGUGUGCUGUGAGGCAUGCUGGAGGUAUCAGAAGUGCGAAUGCUGACAUAAGUAACGAUAAAGCGGGUGAAAACCCCGCUCGCCGGAAGACCAAGGGUUCCUGUCCAACGUUAAUCGGGGCAGGGUGAGUCGACCCCUAAGGCGAGGCCGAAAGGCGUAGUCGAUGGGAAACAGG
This 632-nucleotide ribosomal RNA is filed under the name Escherichia coli. Its description in RNAcentral is "bacterial LSU rRNA". It matches the Rfam family "Bacterial large subunit ribosomal RNA", at positions 801 to 1429 of the family's 2925-position model. Lineage: Bacteria; Pseudomonadati; Pseudomonadota; Gammaproteobacteria; Enterobacterales; Enterobacteriaceae. The record is from RNAcentral.